AGAAGAUCUCAUCCAGAAAGCCGUGCAUUCCGAAGAAAAGAAAGCGGGGAUGGUGUUUCCCUUCCUGUUUGCUGAUCCACUGGGGCUGUCCCAGAAAGAGAACUACAACGCUACUCUUUCCCAUGCCUUGCUUGUCCACAGACAGGGUCUUGCUGUGUUGUCCAGGUUUGAUGGAGUGCGGUGGUGCAAUCCUGGCUCACUAUAACCUCUACCUCCUGGGCUCAAGGGAUAGUCUCAUCUUAGUUUCCUGAGUAGCUGGGACUACAGGACACAACAUUUGUCUCCUCCAGAAGAUGCAGCAACAAGGUAUCAUCUUGGAAGCAGAGACAGGGCCUUCACCAGACACCAAACCCAAAGAUCCCUUCAUCUUGGACUUUCAGCCUCCAGAACUGUGAGAAAUAAAUUCCUAUUCUUUUAAAAUUACCCAGUCUCAGGUGUUUUGUUGUAUCAACACAAAUGAACAGGCCCAGACUGCGCAAUGUCUGAAGAUCUUCAUUUCACCCUGCUAGUAACAACCAUCCUGUUACGUUUGCACUUCUUUGCAAUUCACCCCAC
Molecule: long non-coding RNA, 555 nt
Filed under: Homo sapiens (human)
Lineage: Eukaryota; Metazoa; Chordata; Mammalia; Primates; Hominidae
Description: HSALNT0128415
Source: RNAcentral